AUGUUUUAAAGAUGAAAAAUCAACUGAAAUUAAGCAGCGAUCGACUUUCCUGGGAUUUCAUGUGUGCAGCACCAACAAAGGCUUCAUGGAAGCAGCGGCACGACCUCACAGCCCGAGAGGCCGAGCCUCGACAACAACACAGAAAAGAUUCAGGCGUUUUUAAAAAGAUAAAAUGCUUUCUUCUAAGAGGCUUCUAAAGAUUUACAAAAAUGUAAAAAAAAAAGACAUCAAACAAGCAAAAAUAUUAAUGCUUUUAAUGUGAAAGAGACAUCCUCUGUCCACAGGAGCAGGACAGAGGUGAGCCUUCAGUCACCGUGUUUAUUAAAAUAAGAUCUGUAGCUGCAUGUGCUGCAUGUGCUGCAUGUGCUGCAUGUGCUGCAUGUGCUGCAUGUGCUGCAUGCGCCACAAGUCUACAGAGUUCUGCAAGUCAAAGGUCAUUUGAUUGUAACUUAAACAGCUCUACCAAGUCAGAAGUAACUCUAAUGAGGCAAUGAGGCCCCGGCGGUGGGGGGAAGGAUGUUUUUAUGACUCGCCUGUUUAAACUGUAUUAAGGGUUAAAGCAGAGUGGAGGAACUCCAGGCCUCGAGGGCCGGUGUCCUGCAGGUUUUAGAUGUGUCCUUGAUCCAACACAGCUGAUUUAAAUGGCCAAAUGACCUCCUCAAUAUGUCUUGCAGUUCUCCAGAGGCCUGGUAACGAACUAAUCAUUAAAUUCAGGGGUGCCGACCCAGGGUGAGCUCUAAAACCUGCAGGACACCGACCCUCAAGGCCUGGAGUUUCCCACCUGUGGCUUAAAGUUUGCAUUAUCAGGGGCGUGGCCUCCCUGAUGGACAGGUGGAUGGUGACACAGGAGCGCUAACGUUCCCUUCAAACUUUGACAGACGUCACGUCUGCAGUUUGGGAACAAAUAUUGGUUUUGCUGCAGAAAAUACUGGAAACGCCUAAACACUACAAACUCUGGACUUAUUUUCAACAACUUUUCAGCAGCUUGUUAACAUCACAUGACCUUUGACCCUUGGCAUCAAGCUACCAAUGAUGAUUCUCUAUGCAGAAAAAGCAUGAAGGCACACUCCAGGCCUAAGGAUGAAAUUCCUCCCACAUACAUGUGCUGCUGGGCGAAUAACGAGAGAACAUGUGGAGAUGAAGUGUAAGGUGAGCUGGUUCAGCUUUGAUCCGGUCUGAUCCAGUUUGCUGGGUCGGCGUGUUUCUGAGGAAAUGUCAGCGCUAAAUUUACCGGCUGACAAAGAAGCGUUACUCAUCCUCGGCGCACAAACACAAAUCUGUGCUUGAGCUCAACGCCUCCAUCUGUCACCGAGCUUCGCAGCCAAACAGUCUGCUGCUCUCCACUCACGGGACAAACCCAUAGCGAUGGAGUCCAGAGAAGAUAGCUCGCACAUCCACGCCUCGAACCGCUUUCAGCAUCGAUUAGACUGCAGACAGUUCUGACCAAGGUGCAGUUUGGGGGGAGGCAGGUGAGGAUAUUUCACACAGACAUGUGGACACAGCAGGAAGGCACCUGCUUCAGAUGGAAAUAUUCGUGGAUAGCAGGCGAGCAGCAGACACACCAGAGCGUAAGCUGCACCGUCAGCUUUUAAAGGUCAUUUUAGCAGCUACCCGCUGCAGAAGCCAAGUUAAACUUUCACCACUAGGGGCCACUGCUUUACCAGUAGUGCGUGUAUUGAGAUGUUUUUGGAUGAUUUUGGAUGCUUGGGAAUUCUCAACGUCACACUGAGAAUUCCCGAGCACCCAAAAAUAUCCAUGGGUUCCCGAUGGGCAAAGACAAACGCACAAAAGAGACUCCAAAAACGGACCCAGCAUCAGUCAAGAGUGACGCCAGCAUCACGAACAGGGCGGAGCAUGCGACCCAAACGCUCUACAGAAGCCAAGUUUGAUUCCCGAGGGCAUUUACUGUGUCUUCCCCCGCACGCGCUCCGCUGUCCUGUCUGAAUAAAGACUAAAGAGCCCAAAAACCGUGGGCGAGGUUACUAAUCUAAUCUCUUAAUCUUAGUCACAUAAGAGUGGUUCAAUAAAACACAGAAAAUGACCUGGGAGUGACCACUGAAGGACUGAACUCCAGCUCCCAUGAUGCACUGCAGCAGAACAUAAUGUUCUCACAAGCUGCCCCCAACUCUGAACCAGAUGAUGUAAUGCAUCUGCAGAGUGUGUGUGUGUGUGUGUGUGUGUGUGUGUGUAGGCACGGUGAGGGAGAGGCUGCAGCAACAAGGAGAAGGAGAGACCUCCACAUCCCAACUGAUGAUGUCAUCUGCAGCCAAUCAGCUGAGAGUGCUCAGAGCCACACCUUCUGUGUGUGUGUGUGUGUGUGUGUGUGUGUGUCUGAUGUAAAAUCAGGUCAUAGAUUCAGCAGAAACAAUAACACAUUGAGCUUUUAUUUGAGCACUAAGGUGUUGCUGCAGAACAGAAAUGAGGCUGUUUGCAGCAGUGCAAUAGAAUAGAAUAGAUGUGAUGGGAACAGAGGAGGCGGGGCUCUGGCCAGUUCUGCAGGAUGCUUUUGAGGACAAACGGCAGCAGAAUAACUGGAAGAGGUGACAUCACCUCUGAGGCCGUAAGAUGAUGUCACCAACAGUGAGGUCAUUGCAAUGAAAUGGAUUCGGAGUGAUGUCAUCAUAAUGUGACUGAGUGAAAGCAAGAAAGUAAAGUGGAUGAGUCAUGCAGCUGAGGUGAGACUGGACAAACACAUUAGAGCAUCUUUUACUCAUGCUGUGAGGACAUAACCUGCAGUGUUACACAAACAUUAGAAUUAGGUUAGUAAUAGUAGUAAUGUUGGACUAUGGUUAGGGCAAGGUUACAGUAACAUUAGAGUAAGGUUAGGGUUAUAAUCAGGUUAGGUUGAGGUCAGGGUAACGUUGAGAAAACGUUUGUGUAAGGUUAGAGUUAGAGGGUUGGACAAAGGUACUGAUACUGACUCCCUGCUGAGCAGCUGCCUGUGGUACAGCGGCGUGUUCACUGUGUGGAGGGGGCGGGGCCCUGCAGGCUUCACUGGGCAAAGGGCGGCGUACAACCUGCACAGGUCGCCAGUACACAUGCCCACAGCCAAAUUGAAACAUCCACACGGCUACAAGUCUGACUAUGAGAAAAUAAGCUGAUGAUCUCAGUCGCUGGUUUCAAGUCUUGAAUAAAACGUGAAAUUAAUUUUGGCCUCACUACAGUCAGAAAAUAAGAACAACCCAGGCUCAUCAGCAUCCUUCAGUUUCUCACUUACAAUCAGGUUUAAAAGUAUUUUGGUGAAAAUGCUUCACAAUGGGAGGAGGUGACAUCACAGUGGCUGACCAUCUUUUAUAUACAGUCUCUGCCACCAACCUGUAAUGCAUGAGAAAUCCUCACCACUUACUCUGACACAUGAUCACCAUGUGACCGAUUGAAACUCGAAAAAUUCAGCUGAUGACCGACUGUAAGUUUGUCUGACUGUGGGGUGUGGGUGUGGGUUGGGGGUCUAAGCUGUCCUCCGUCUCCUCCGACUCCUGCUGCUGUGUUUUUGAAUAAAGUUUGGAAUGCUGGAGGAUUCAGAUUAAACAAAUGUGUUAAAUUCAUCGACAGGCACGAUGAUUUCUUUGUGCCACGAAACACUCGCUCGGUCCUGAAUGAAACGAGCUGGAGCGAUGUGUCGGCGAGGCAUCGUGACCGCAGCCCACUGUGGAAGAGGAGGAGGAGAGUGAGGGAGGGGCGAGCUUCAGGCUGAGGAGAGAGAGCAGCGUGGGCUGAAUAUCAGUGGAGGCGAGUAAACGCUGCGGGACGAGACUUCCAGAAAUUCACCUGAGUUCACCGCCGUGACUUUCUGUCGGAUCAUUUUUCACAGUUUGGGGGAAUUUUCACACUAAAAUCAAAUCCACAGAUUCUGCCUUUGGGCUCUGCUGCAGAUGAGACACACACGGAGACAUCAGCCGCAGAGAUGUUUGCCUUCUCUUGAAUAUAAAGGAACAGCAUGGCACACAUCUCACGGUGCUCCUCAGAGCUUCCCUCUCCUCUUUAGUCAAGACGGGGUCCAUGUUUUCCAAAAGAAUUUCACCUAUGGGCCCAUCUGACCUCAGAUCGGUUUUUCACAUUGCCUCAGUCAUGCAGAGAAGACGGCGCUUCUUCUCCUCAUGAUUGACCUUUAACCUGCAGGUGUGGACGUCACUGCCAGGCCCGCUCUAGCCUCCCUCUCUUCUUAACCUCAGUCGUAGUUCAGGAGCAGGUUCGGGCGUGGCAGUACAUCGACCUCUGCAUCAUCCAAUCACCUUCACCUUCCACACAGCAUUCACCUGACAUGACCUAACCCCGGGAACCCUACCGCUCCCCUCUGGACACCCUGAACUUCUUGCUGCCCUGGAUUUCCCAGCUCUGGCUCCGUAAGACCCGAUCUGAUAACAGAGCUUUUCAUCAGACGGGUCGUGACAGGCAGCGAGUCCUGGAGGUGCAUGGACUGAUCUCCAUCACAGAAUCACGCCUGUGCUUAAUGCUUUGCUGUCUGAGGGUCUGAAGAUCACAGGCCUGCAGCCUUGCUCCUGCACACAGAGACUUCUCCAGGUCAUUUUGAUGGUAUUGUGCACACGAUGACAUAUUCAAGUCUAGCUGUAGUGUUUUUGCAGAUUGGUGAACGUGUGCGUGCUCGCCAAGAUUCCACUCUCCAAAUGUUCCUCCAGCAGUUUAUUUUUAGUACAAAUCUUUUUUUAUGAAACAGUUAAAUGAUCAAGUUUAAACAUUUGAUAAAUAAAUUGAAGAAAAAUAACAUAUGGUUUAUAUAACAUUCUAUUUUUAUCUUGAAUAGAAUAAAAAUAGAAUAACGUCCAUGUCGAGCACACGGGGUGAAAGACUAAAAUUACUUCCACCUGGUGGCAGUAGCCCUCAAAAACUAGCACGACUCUGACCAAGUGGCUAACAUUGCAUCUUCAGAACCAAUGGGUAACAGAGGCCUCGUCCAUCUUUCAUAUACAGUCUGUAUUGUUUGCUAGCUGCAGGCAGGUAAAGCUCGGUGAAGAUGAAACUUGCAGCAGGGUUUGUGAUUUUUUUCUUUUGGGGAGUUUUAAAAUUUUAGCUCUUGGUGACCUCACAGCGAGUCCCCUUCAGUCCCAUUGAUUAUCUGUCCACAUACUUCUGAACACUUGCAGUUACCUGAUUAUCCAUGUUAGACAAUAAAGUUUUAAAUGAGUUGAAAUCCUUCAACUUUCCAGGUUUACAUGAAAACCUGACAGAUUCAGGCCCACACUCUGCACACGGGAACGCGAGCCCCUCAUAUCUGUGUGUUGGAGUGAACGGCAUCGCCGAGCUGAAAGAACACAAACUUGUUUGAAGCUGUCAGUGUUUCGUGCAGGCGUGCCGUCUUCUCUGCGGCUUCGUGCUUUGUCCUUUUGAAAGCUGAAGUGAGCGGAGAGAUGAGUCAGAUGCUCUUCAGUCCGACCACGCUGCCGGAUUUCAGCGAGCGCGUAGGCGACAGAAGCGAGCGGCGUGUUGGCAGCUUGGUGGCAGAUGGUCGGCGGGCGGACGACCUGAAUCCAUUCACAGAGCUCAGACAUGAAUGAAGACGAGCACAUACACAACACACAAGCCAGUACCUCCAGAAACACCAGAGAACUGCUGUCAAGUGGGAGGUUUUCUUUCCUCCAUUCAUCCUUUCACAUCCUUUAUUUUACAAACUCAGUUUGUUGGGAACAUGCCGUCUCCUCCAGAGGAAAAACCUUUGCACACUUUUCAGCACCUCUUAAUAAAUUAAGCAGAAUUUGAAUCUUACUGAACAAAAGUAAAAAGCAGAAGAAUCCACGGCUGAAAUCCACAUCUGGUGGUUACCAGCUGUUUACCAGAUGCAAAGCAAAACGGCGACUCCACGAGCAUGCUUGCCCUCACACACUUUCACACAAUCACAAUGAAAUGUGAAGCAGAAUCCUGGCCCGCUGACGGAGGAAAUGAUGGGGUUUCAGAGCUGGAGCGAUACCACGGGUCAUCAUGGCGAAGUCUUCAAUGCUGUUUGGAUUCUCCAUCAGCUGAUGCAGAGCUCAUCGGAAUCAUCACUUUAAGAACUGAAGGUCAGUCAGUCCUGAAAACUGCUAAAACUCUGAAUGUGUCCCCAAGUGCAGCCCCAAAAACCAUCAAGCUCUACGAGGAAACUGGCCCACAUGAGGAAAUGAAGACCAAGAGUCACCGCUGCUGAGUCUGCAUUCAUCCGAGUCACCAGCCUCAGAAAUGGCAAGGUAACAGCAGCUCAGAUCAGAGACCAGUUCAAUGCCAGACACAUCUCUACAUCAGCUGUUCAGAGGAGACUGUGUAAAUCAGGCCUUUACGGUCAGGACUAAGGAAAAGCAACAAGCAGAAGAGAUUUGUUUGGGCCAAGAAACACAAGGAGUGGACUUUAGACCAGUGCACAUCUGUGAGUCUAAAUUUGAGACCUUUGGUUCCACCCGCCGUGUCUUUGUGUGACCCAGAAUAGGUGAACGAUGGUCUCUACAUGUAUGUUUCUCACUGUGAAGUAUGGAGGUGGUGUGAUGGUGUGGGGUGGGGGUGGGGGGGCUUUGCUGGUGACACUGUUGGGGAUUUAUUCAAAACUGAAGGCACACUGAACCAGCAUGGCUACCACAGCAUCCUGCAGCCACAUGUCAUCCCAUCAUUUAUUUUCUAAAGACAAACAGCCGACAUCGUACUUUAGUUUGACUCGUCUGUCCUUUAGUUUCUCACAGUGAAGCUCAUUUUGCCCACGAAACACUAGCAUGCUGCUAAUGCGUGCCGAUUGGUGGGUUUAGGACAGGACAUCCUCCCUUGAUGGUGCCCGUCUCAGGAAGGGCAGAGAGACGUUCUCCGUUAUUUCUCUGGACAUUUGUGACCAUCACAAGAACAUCGUCCAUGUUCUCUGAGAACAUUUCGAAGAACCUGGAUGCUUUGUAGCCGACUUUGUUAAGACUUACAGAAAGUGUCUGAGAGAAACACGGCAGACUUCGCCUGGUUUUCAUCAUUAUCGAUCAAUCAGCACUCAGAGACCUGUUAUUGUUCCGUAAACGUGGAGUUUGUUUCCUGACGUCUGAAUAAAGACGGAGCUUCUGGAAUCACAAGGUCGAGUCAAAGGCUUAAAACCAGUCCUGAUGUCAGAGCUCAUUUUAUUUUACAUGCCAUAAAUCCUUUCAGUACUUUCACAAACAAAACCAACAGUAAUGGAACAGAAGAUAUAAAAAUAUAGUUCUCUCUCUCUUUUUGGAAGGAGCAGCCAAUCAGGUCACCUGAUCAUACAGGAAGUUCAGCCCUCGCCUUGUCGUGUCUGAA
Long non-coding RNA from Oreochromis niloticus (Nile tilapia), 7239 nucleotides. RefSeq lists it as uncharacterized. NCBI's taxonomy places the organism in Eukaryota, Metazoa, Chordata, Actinopteri, Cichliformes, Cichlidae. The record is from RefSeq and is a predicted model, not a curated record. The transcript is spliced from 2 exons.